GAGGCAUCUCCGCUGAAGCGCCAGAAAGUCGUGGGCAACGACACUGGUGCCACCAGUCGGGUACUAGUACCUUCUAGUAGUCCUGAGCAUCAGGACAAUGGUGCUGUGGAGCCUGCCACAACAGGUCAAGGUGCUCCAGUGACAAACACCCUUGCUGUGGUAGCAGCUGCACCACCAGUAGCUG
Molecule: long non-coding RNA, 184 nt
Organism: Ixodes scapularis (black-legged tick)
Lineage: Eukaryota; Metazoa; Arthropoda; Arachnida; Ixodida; Ixodidae
Exons: 3
Source: RefSeq, a predicted model, not a curated record